AUACGGAGGGUGUAAGCGUUAUCCGGAUUCAUUGGGUUUAAAGGGUACGUAGGCGGAUAGAUAAGUUAGUGGUGAAAUCCCGAAGCUCAACUUCGGAACUGCCAUUAAAACUGUCUAUCUUGAAUUUGGUUGAAGUGGGCGGAAUAUGACAUGUAGCGGUGAAAUGCAUAGAUAUGUCAUGGAACACCGAUAGUGAAGACAGCUCACUAAGCCAAUAUUGACGCUGAGGUACGAAAGCAUGGGUAGCGAACAGGAUUAGAAACCCCAGUAGUCC
This 274-nucleotide ribosomal RNA is filed under the name uncultured bacterium. Its description in RNAcentral is "partial 16S ribosomal RNA". It matches the Rfam family "Bacterial small subunit ribosomal RNA", at positions 523 to 796 of the family's 1533-position model. The record is from RNAcentral.